This 3989-nucleotide long non-coding RNA is filed under the name Sus scrofa (pig). RNAcentral describes it as "lncRNA (ENSSSCG00050027579.1)". Lineage: Eukaryota; Metazoa; Chordata; Mammalia; Artiodactyla; Suidae. The record is from RNAcentral.
AAAAAGAAAAAAAAAAAGAAUUUGGGAGGUGGAUGUGAUUUGGCCAGUUUGGAGGCAGGUCUAAGAGAAUGGCUUCCUGGAACGUUCUCGAACCCAAAGGGAGCAGGAGCGGGGACACCUCUGCUUUGGUGUUGACUGGACACGGCGAUGAAGGAGGUGGAGCCGCUCCUCUGGGUCACCGAGGUGUCCUUGGACCACUGAAUGGGUCACCCUAGAACCUCUCACCAUUGCCCUCCUCGUUCCAUGAGAUAACAGUGUUUUCUUCUCUAAGCCAGUUUCAGUUAUUUCUGGAAUUUAGUCCUAAGAGUAUCCUUGAUAUGUCAGCGUGGUGGGGACACAGGCACUUUUAUCUGGCUAGGGAUGGUUUAAAUUGAUACAACUUUGUCAGGGCAAUAGCUAUCACAGCUCAAGUAUCAGAGUUCUCUUGUGGCUCAGCAAGUGAGUCACGUUGUCAGCCUUGUCACUGCUGCAGCAUAGGUUCCAUCCCUGGCCUGGGAACUUCUGCAUGCCGUGGGAAUGGCCAAAAAAAAAUCCCCUUAAAUAUCUAUCCCCCACCCCCCCCCUUUUUUUCCAUUUUUGGCCAUCCCUUGGCACAUGGAGUCCCAGGCCAGGGAUCUGCUCUGAGCCAUAGUCGCAACCUACACCACAGUGGUGGUAACGCCAGAUUCUUACCCCACUGUCCUGGGCCGGAUAUUGAACCUGCAACCAGGUGCUCCCAAGACACCACCCACCCUGCUGCACCACAGCAAAGAACUCCAAUACUUAUUUCCCUUGAGAAGUAAUGACACAGCUAGGGAUACAUCUCACAGAAGAGCUGUCACAGUUAAACUAAAUUUCAUGGGGAAGCAUAUUUGCAGGAGUAAAAGAUGAGAAACAGCGUAGAUAUUCAUCAAUGUGGGUCCAGUUAAGUAAAUUUAGGUAUAUCCUCGCAACAGGAGACUAAGGGGAAGUUUUUUCCUAAAGAUAUUCGUCCUGCAUGAAAAGGUGUAGGUUUUGUUUGUUUGGGGUUUUGUUUUUUGGGUUUGUUUUGGCCACACUCACAGCACGCAGAAGUGCCCAGGCCAGGGAUCUAACACGUGCCGCAGUAGUGACAAUGCUGGAUCCCUAACCCUCCUGCGCCACCAGGGAACUUGGAAAGAUGUAGUUUAAUUUUUUUUUCAAUGGCUGCACCCAUGGCCUAUGGAAAUUCCCAGGCCGGGGAUUGAGUCUGAGCUGCACCUGCAGCAGUGCUGAAUCCUUUAACCCACUGCACGGGGCCAGAGAUUGAACCAGCACCUCCUCAGAGGCCCCAGCCGCUGUAGUCGGGUUCUUAACCCACUGCGCCCCAGCAGGAGCUCCACUGGAAAGACGGGGUUUACAGAGCAGGUUGUUGCAAAUCAGUGUGUGAAUUACAGUCUCAUCUGUGUAAGCGCAUUAUGGAUAAAUGACCCCAUCUUCUGGCUAGAACGGACCCCUCUUGUUUCGGCCCAUCCCACACCCAACCCCUCUUUUCCUGCGAGGGGUAGCAUCCUGAUGUCACCCCUCAGGCCCUGGCUCCAGCCAUGACACCAGAGGGCAGGGACUCAGGACCCAUGCCUGGCAUAGCUGAGGGUGAUUGUCUGAAGAGGGGCCCGUGAACCCUAAUGAAACCCAGUUGCACACUUGAGCCAGAACCCCUGGAAAGAGAACCUCUCUUUUCCUUCUUUCAUCUUCUUGUGUGUGUGUGUGUGUGUGUGUGUGUGUGUGUGUCUUCUUAGGGCCGUACCUGCGGCACACGGAGGUUCCCAGGCUAGGGGUCCAAUCAGAGCUGUAGCCACCGGCCUACACCACAGCCACAGCAACACGGGAUCCCAGCCUCGUCUGCAACCUACACUGCAGCUCACGGCAAUGCCAGAUCCUUCAUCCACUGAACGAGGCCGGGGAUCCAACUUGUGUCCUCACGGAUGCUAGUCAGAUUCAUUUCCGCUGUGCCACGAUGGAAACGCAGAGAAUCUCUCUUUUCACUUGAAGCUGCAGUUGGGGGUUGGGGCGCCACGAGGCCGCCGGAGAGCUGAGAAGCGAAGGGUCGCAGGUCCCGACAAGGACGCGUGUGCCCUGGAUCUUGACUUGACUGCAUAUGCUUUCUGUGCCCUGGGCUUUGAAAUUAGGAGUCAGUAGAUGCUUCCUAACUUUCUCUUUUUCCUCAAGUCAUUUCAGGGUGGUUUUCUUUCCCAUGCAACUGAAAGAUUCCUGAUGAAUUCACAAACAUAUACACUGAUGGGUUUUUACAAGAAACCUCUGGAAGACUGUGUUAUUAGCUGUGAAGGGUGAUUGUUUCUGGGAGUUCCCUUCAUGGCUCAGCAGUUACAAACCCAGCUAGGAUCCAUGACAAAGAGGGUUCAAUCCCUGGCCUUGCUUGGUGGGUUAAAGAUUUGGCGGUGCCGUGAGCUGUGUGUAGGUUGAAGAUGCAUCUGGAUCCCACAUGUCUAUGGCUGUGGCAGAGGCCGGCAGCUGCAGCUCUGAUUCAACCCCUCACCUGGGAACCUCCAUAUGCCUCAGAUUUGGACCUCAAAUAACAAACAAAAAAAGUGGUUGUCUCUGGAGGUUGGGAUUUUAGGAGAGUGAACCUUUCUAAAUCACAGUUUUGCUGUCCAACAUGGUCACCUGUAGCCAGUGUGACGGUUGAGCCCUCGAAAUGUGGCCAGAUGGAGACUGAUGUACAUGCAGAAGGCAUUGAAAAAGAAGGUAGGAGUUCCCCUCGUGGCACAGUGGAAACCAGUCCAACUAGGUACCGUGAGGUUGUGGGUUCGAUCCCUGGCCUCGCUCCGUGGGUUAAGGAUCCUGCGUUGCCGUGAGUUGUGUGUAGGUCGAAGACGUGGCUAGGGGUCGAAUCAGAGCUGUAGCUCCCAGCCUACCCCACAGCCACAGCAACACAGGAUCUGAGCCUCAUCUGCGCCCUACACUGCAGCUCAUGGCAACACCGGCUCCUUAACCCACUGAGCAAGGCCGGGGAUGGAACCUGCAUCCUUACGGAUCCUAGUUGGGUUCGUUAAGCCACUAAGCCACGAAGGGAACUCCUUUCCCAGGAGUUGAAAUGUGGUGGCCAAGAACGUCAGCCAUGGGAAGUGCUGACUUCCAGCCCCCAUCAGAUUUCAACUCCGAACCACACAGAGUGUCGCAGGUCCUGGGGCUCUGAGAGUGAACCUGGGGCUGGGGCGGGGGUGGACUUGGGGGAGUGACACUUGACGUUUGCCCACUGGUCACCGACCUGCAGACUUUACCUGCACCCUGGGCGGUCCAUGCCGCUCUCCCAUUGGUCAGUCUUCCCCAGAGCGUUUGCGGACCUGCUCCAUCAUCCCCGGAGGGAGAUGCAGCUUCCGGUGUGGGUCUGUGCCGUUCCACCCCCGCUGCAGCCCCCGGUCCUGUUCUCCCUCCAUCCCUCCCUCUCUGUCUUGGGCUCACCGUCUCUGUUGCUCUCACAGAAAAUGAAAAGCACUAACACACCAGAUUUUAGAAACUGGAACACAGAUGAUUCAGUGGAACUGACUUAGCAGAGCAGAGCAAUCUGACGGCUGAGCCAUCAGAGGGCGAAGCCAAGGAACCAUCUGAUCUCCGCAGGACCCUCCCCCACCCCAAGAAAGCCUGCAGAAUCCAGGGCUCCCAGGACAGCUGAAACCAGGAAGAUUGGUACCAAGUGUUGAAUCCAGUGGGCCCCCAGACCCGCCUUCCCCCUUCUUAUCCGGCUGGGAGACGCCUUCUCCUCCACCUGAGACCAAGGCAGGGAGAAUUCAUCUCAAAAGCAGGGGAUUUAAUGAAAUCUGCUUUCUCAAAUCUGACUGGUAUCCAUGAGGACGCAGGUUCGAUCCCUGGCCUCACUCAGUGUGUUAAGGAUCCAACAUUGCUGUGAGCUGUGGUGCGUAGGUCACAGACAUGGCUCGGAUCUGGCCUCACUGUGGCUCUGGUGUAGGCCGGCAGCUGUAGCUCCCCUUAGACCCCAAGCCUAGGAACCUCCAUAUGCCAUGGGUGUGGCC